This 316-nucleotide ribosomal RNA is filed under the name uncultured bacterium. Its description in RNAcentral is "bacterial SSU rRNA". It matches the Rfam family "Bacterial small subunit ribosomal RNA", at positions 28 to 334 of the family's 1533-position model. The record is from RNAcentral.
GAUGAACGCUAGCGACAGGCUUAACACAUGCAAGUCGAGGGGCAGCGGGGGCGGAAGCUUGCUUUCGCCCGCCGGCGACCGGCGCACGGGUGAGUAACACGUAUCCAACCUGCCGAUGACUCGGGGAUAGCCUUUCGAAAGAAAGAUUAAUACCCGAUGGCAUAGUUCUUCCGCAUGGUAGAACUAUUAAAGAAUUUCGGUCAUCGAUGGGGAUGCGUUCCAUUAGCUUGUUGGCGGGGUAACGGCCCACCAAGGCAUCGAUGGAUAGGGGUUCUGAGAGGAAGGUCCCCCACAUUGGAACUGAGACACGGUCCAA